CAAGGUCUCCGUUGGUGAACCAGCGGAGGGAUCAUUGCUGGAACGCGCCCCAGGCGCACCCAGAAACCCUUUGUGAACUUAUACCUUUUGUUGCCUCGGCGCUGCUGGUCUCUAGUAGGCCCCUCACUUCGGUGAGGAAAAGGCACGCCGGCGGCCAAAUCAACUCUGUUUUUACACUGAAACUCUGAGAAAAAACACAAAUGAAUCAAAACUUUCAACAACGGAUCUCUUGGUUCUGGCAUCGAUGAAGAACGCAGCGAAAUGCGAUAAGUAAUGUGAAUUGCAGAAUUCAGUGAAUCAUCGAAUCUUUGAACGCACAUUGCGCCCUCUGGUAUUCCGGAGGGCAUGCCUGUUCGAGCGUCAUUUCAACCCUCAAGCAUUGCUUGGUGUUGGGGCACUGCUUCUAACGAAGCAGGCCCUGAAAUCUAGUGGCGAGCUCGCCAGGACCCCGAGCGCAGUAGUUAAACCCUCGCUCUGGAAGGCCCUGGCGGUGCCCUGCCGUUAAACCCCCAACUUCUGAAAAUUUGACCUCGGAUCAGGUAGGAAUACCCGCUGAACUUAAGCA
RNAcentral lists this ribosomal RNA (565 nucleotides) under Phomopsis oryzae. Its description in RNAcentral is "eukaryotic LSU rRNA". The stretch from base 210 to 363 matches the Rfam family "5.8S ribosomal RNA". The record is from RNAcentral. Lineage: Eukaryota; Fungi; Ascomycota; Sordariomycetes; Diaporthales; Diaporthaceae.